This 327-nucleotide ribosomal RNA is filed under the name uncultured eukaryote. Its description in RNAcentral is "partial 18S ribosomal RNA". It matches the Rfam family "Eukaryotic small subunit ribosomal RNA", at positions 1470 to 1796 of the family's 1831-position model. The record is from RNAcentral.
CCCUUAGAUGUUCUCGGCCGCACACGCGCUACACUGAAGGAGGCAGCGUGUACUCCUGGAUCGAAAGAUUUGGGUAACCCGCGAAUCUCCUUCGUGCUAGGGAUUGAGGUUUGCAAUUAUCCUUCAUGAACGAGGAAUUCCCAGUAAGUGCAAGUCAUAAGCUUGCGCUGACUACGUCCCUGCCCUUUGUACACACCGCCCGUCGCUACUACCGAUUGAAUGAUUUAGUGAGGACUUCGGACUGGGACCGAUGCGGCUUUCGGGCUGCGUCGGUAUUCUGGAAAGAUGUCCAAACUGUAUCAUUUAGAGGAAGUAAAAGUCGUAACA